RNAcentral lists this long non-coding RNA (1918 nucleotides) under Triticum aestivum (bread wheat). Its description in RNAcentral is "long non-coding RNA (TAES_LNC003624)". Lineage: Eukaryota; Viridiplantae; Streptophyta; Magnoliopsida; Poales; Poaceae. The record is from RNAcentral.
CAAAGUACUUGAUUCAAAUAACACAUAACACACAACAAAUAACAUGAUUCAAACAGAGCUAAUAACACAUAAAAUUUUAAAUGGCAACCAAAGUACUUUACAAUCAUGGCAGUAUAAAUCAGGUAUUCAACUAUAAAAUACAACUAAAUAUUAAUAUGGCCAGCUCCAGCUCCAGGGUUUUCUUCGGGAUUAUUCUCCUGGAGUUCCGUGUACACCAACUUUUGACGAAUGAAGGCCAAAAUCUGCGUGUUAUAAAUCAGAAAAGUUAGGAAUAUAAUCAAGUGAAUUCGUGCAUAUAACAUUCUCCUAACAAUGAAAAAUAGAUGCAGAAUUUUAGAUCUAAUAAGAAACCAUGCAUAUAACAUUCUCAUAACAGCAAGCCUGAGAUAUAUUUGGAAAGGUAAAAUGACAAGUAUCAACCCAGUGCAAGAUAAUAGAGCAACUAUGCCAAAGUUAUUCAGAUUUCCUGAUGUGUGUGUCGCGUUAUACAUGCAUCAAGAAGAUCGUAUAUAUACACAGAUUUAAUGCCUAAAGCACAUCAGGCUUGGAGCUUACGUAUAUAUACACGAUUACUAGUUGGAACUAGUGAACAAAGGUUGUGAAUGAUUUUCAUACGAGUAUGUAUAGUCAUGGUUCUGGACAUGAAAAUGUUUAUGUACAUUCAUGAAAGUUUUGCACAUGACAUGAGCAAGUAUGCAGUCCCUAAUUAGAUUACAUGUUCUGACUUAUGAGCACGAGAGGAAUACAUAGACAUUGGAAUAUCCUCAUGCUUAAAAUAGAAAGAGAACAAAAGAAAACUUAACCUAUCUAUGCAGCAGAGAGAGAUAGCAGGGCAGGAGGACCUAUGGACCAACUUGUCCUUCACCAGAUCAUUCAAGGGAAGAAAAAUAGCAGCAAAUCAGCUUGCCUGUUCCCGUUCACAGAACUAGACCAGAGCAGCCAUAUCGGAACAUAAAUAUAUGGUGAAUAGUUUGACACUAUCAGCUAUGCAGAUAUAUGGCUCAGGAACAUCUACUCAACAAACAAAGAGUGAUACUACUCUGGCACAUAGAGUUGAUGCAUCGGCAAAAUAUUUCAAAACUGGAUAACUGAGAUGAUUUGCUGAAUGAAAUCUUGUGGAGAUACUUACACCACAUAGCUAGCGUACCAUUGCACUUACACCAUAUAACGAGCGAGGGGUCGGGUCGGGGCACUGACCUAGAGUCAUAGGCGCGGGAGCUCACCUUGGCCUUCAUCCUGCCGCCAGACGCCAACCUCAUCAGAGCCCGCAAAAGCCAAAAUCUUGAACUGGCCGGGAACCACGCGGUACCUUGGGAUCGGAGCGAGGGUGAGGGGUGGGCUGGGACUCGGAUGCUGAGCUCCCUGCACACGGCAUAUUCUGUUAAUGCUUACAACAACAUAAGAUACUCACAUAUAAAAAUGCACCCUGGAAGUAUAAAGAGUGCUUCCUAGCACACCAAGAAUCCAACAGAAAGCAAACAUGUACACCGGUGAGCUGGUGACCAUAAAGUAACAUCAGAAAGACUCAGCCAUCACAAAUACUCAGCCCGAUCCUAAUAUAAAGCAAUUCAGAAACUCAAUGACAACAAAAUAUAUAGAAGAAAAAAAAGCUCAUUUGGUUGGAAAUUAAUUUUCAAAUCACAUUUUAAGUUGCUCUCUAUUGCAUGAACAACAACCACAUAAAAGUAUGAUGAAUAAACUAUAUGUCAGAAGAGAACCGAGCAGAGAAUAGACACUAAAAGAAAGCAGAUAGUAUACUCAGUACUUACUACAGAUUUUCUCACUGGAUACACACACACACACACGCUUUGCACAUGCAGAUUUGCUCCCUGCAAAAUCAAGUCUGAACUGUUGGCUAUAAUAAUUACUGCAACAAAAUUCCCAAAACAGAGAAUGGCGUCCUCCUUGACCAGACGAU